Molecule: ribosomal RNA, 1149 nt
Filed under: Escherichia coli
Lineage: Bacteria; Pseudomonadati; Pseudomonadota; Gammaproteobacteria; Enterobacterales; Enterobacteriaceae
Description: partial 23S ribosomal RNA
Rfam family: Bacterial large subunit ribosomal RNA
Source: RNAcentral
GGUUAAGCGACUAAGCGUACACGGUGGAUGCCCAGGCAGUCAGAGGCGAUGAAGGACGUGCUAAUCUGCGAUAAGCGUCGGUAAGGUGAUAUGAACCGUUAUAACCGGCGAUUUCCGAAUGGGGAAACCCAGUGUGUUUCGACACACUAUCAUUAACUGAAUCCAUAGGUUAAUGAGGCGAACCGGGGGAACUGAAACAUCUAAGUACCCCGAGGAAAAGAAAUCAACCGAGAUUCCCCCAGUAGCGGCGAGCGAACGGGGAGCAGCCCAGAGCCUGAAUCAGUGUGUGUGUUAGUGGAAGCGUCUGGAAAGGCGCGCGAUACAGGGUGACAGCCCCGUACACAAAAAUGCACAUGCUGUGAGCUCGAUGAGUAGGGCGGGACACGUGGUAUCCUGUCUGAAUAUGGGGGGACCAUCCUCCAAGGCUAAAUACUCCUGACUGACCGAUAGUGAACCAGUACCGUGAGGGAAAGGCGAAAAGAACCCCGGCGAGGGGAGUGAAAAAGAACCUGAAACCGUGUACGUACAAGCAGUGGGAGCACGCUUAGGCGUGUGACUGCGUACCUUUUGUAUAAUGGGUCAGCGACUUAUAUUCUGUAGCAAGGUUAACCGAAUAGGGGAGCCGAAGGGAAACCGAGUCUUAACUGGGCGUUAAGUUGCAGGGUAUAGACCCGAAACCCGGUGAUCUAGCCAUGGGCAGGUUGAAGGUUGGGUAACACUAACUGGAGGACCGAACCGACUAAUGUUGAAAAAUUAGCGGAUGACUUGUGGCUGGGGGUGAAAGGCCAAUCAAACCGGGAGAUAGCUGGUUCUCCCCGAAAGCUAUUUAGGUAGCGCCUCGUGAAUUCAUCUCCGGGGGUAGAGCACUGUUUCGGCAAGGGGGUCAUCCCGACUUACCAACCCGAUGCAAACUGCGAAUACCGGAGAAUGUUAUCACGGGAGACACACGGCGGGUGCUAACGUCCGUCGUGAAGAGGGAAACAACCCAGACCGCCAGCUAAGGUCCCAAAGUCAUGGUUAAGUGGGAAACGAUGUGGGAAGGCCCAGACAGCCAGGAUGUUGGCUUAGAAGCAGCCAUCAUUUAAAGAAAGCGUAAUAGCUCACUGGUCGAGUCGGCCUGCGCGGAAGAUGUAACGGGGCUAAACCAUG